GUAGGUGGCAAGCGUUGUCCGGAAUUAUUGGGCGUAAAGCGCGCGCGGGCGGUUCUUUAAGUCUGAUGUGAAAGCCCACGGCUCAACCGUGGAGGGUCAUUGGAAACUGGAGAACUUGAGUACAGAAGAGGAAAGCGGAAUUCCACGUGUAGCGGUGAAAUGCGUAGAGAUGUGGAGGAACACCAGUGGCGAAGGCGGCUUUCUGGUCUGUAACUGACGCUGAGGCGCGAAAGCGUGGGGAGCAAACAGGGAUUAGAUACCCUGGUAGUCCACGCCGUAAACGAUGAGUGCUAAGUGUUAGGGGGUUUCCCGCCCCUUAGUGCUGCAGCUAACGCAUUAAGCACUCCGCCUGGGGAGUACGCCGCAAGGCUG
Molecule: ribosomal RNA, 372 nt
Filed under: uncultured organism
Description: partial 16S ribosomal RNA
Rfam family: Bacterial small subunit ribosomal RNA
Source: RNAcentral